Non-coding RNA from Triticum urartu, 392 nucleotides. NCBI's taxonomy places the organism in Eukaryota, Viridiplantae, Streptophyta, Magnoliopsida, Poales, Poaceae. The record is from RefSeq and is a predicted model, not a curated record.
AAGCUUCUCACCGACGCUGUCCAUGAUGGCUUUGAGAUGAACGCGAGACCCCUUCAGAAGGUGAACGGAAGAGAUAUCAACUUUUUCUGCCCUGAUGAUCACCAUGAGCGCUAUUACGCUGCCGCUGAUCAGUAAUUAGGUUCAAACUUCAGGCAGCCUGAGGGAUAGACAUCAUGCGUGUUAAUUUUUCGGAAACCACGACGAAGAACCAUUGAUUCGAUGGAGCAUUGCAAUGAUGGUGACUCUGCACCAAGCGGAGAUGUUCAUAGUCUCGGCACGUUUGUUAAUUCCAUUGUAAAGUCGAAGUCACAGACAUGUGUCCAAUAAAUAAUUUCAAGCGGAGAUGUUCAUAGUCGUUGUUGUUAGUAUCUUCAAUAAAUAAUUUGAUGACA